UAAAUUAUUACUAAUAACCAGUCAGAUCUACUAGAAAAAGAGAACAGAUAUUGAGAAUUUCUGUUUCACUUUUACGAACAUGAAAACAAAAUAUAUUCGCAUGUAAUGUAAUUCACAUUACAUUGCAAUGACUGAUUUAAGUAAACUGUACGAUAUAUAAUGUGCAGAUUGAUUACUUUUCUUUUUUGUGGAUUAUUAAAAGGAAAAGUUCUUAAAACAUAACAUUUAAAUAUAUACUAUAGAUUUAAAAUAACAUGUCGAACAGUAGGUAUAAUACCGCCAAACGUGAUAACUUUAUAAAUAAAAUACAAAAAUACAUAUCAGAAAGUUAGAAUCCUAACCUCAAAUGAUAGAAAACUCUACUCAAGGCUAACAAUAUAAAAAAGUAGCCGUUAAUUUAUGAUGAAUCGAUAAUUAAAGCAUAUUUUCCGUGAACAGCUUAAAUAUAAUGAUAAAUAGAAAUGAGAAUAAAUGGAAAUUUUACUACUGACAGUAAAACUCAAAAUGAUACAAAGGAUACAGAAAGUAAUAUUUUGGCAAUGAAAUAAUAUCUUCUACUAACAAAAAGAAGAUAAAAAUUUUACUAAUGAUAUAGGUUCGAAUAACGAAUCUAAAGAAGUGCAUGCAAAUAAUAUUAAAGAAACAUUAUCCAUGAAGGAUAAUCAUCAAUGUUUAAACAAGAAAAAGUAUUGCCAUUUAUAGAUUAUGUUGCUGAAAAUGGGUAGUGAGAAGAAUACGUAAAUCUGAAAAGAAAUGUUGCAAAAUAUGAGAGUAAAUAUUAAAUAAAUAUAUCAAAUGAAACUUAUGAAAACAAGGUUACAAAGGAUUUUUAAAAGAAUUUAAUAAAUGCAUGGUCAAUCACUGAUUAUCAAAUAUUGCAUAAUAUAAUUGGUUGGAAAAGCUUAUUUUACUUGUCAAUUAUAAAUACAUACAAUUUUAUUAAGAUAAUGCAUUGUCCUACUCAGUUACAGACAAGUAAUAUUUAAAAGUUAAAUAUUCGUAUAUUAUUUGAGAAAUAUUACAUCAUUACUGAAUUUUCUGAUCAAUGAUAAUUUACGAAAUGAAGUGAAUAUAAUUUUGUUUGAAUUCAAAAAUCUGAGUUUAUCAUCUGACUUAACAUUCAGAACCGAUUUUAAAAGUAAAAUAAUGUGUAAAGUUAAUUUUUUAAGAAUACUCUAUAAUUGCAAAAGAAAUUCACAGAAUUAUGUCAUUGUAAUUACUGUAGAACAGUAAUUUAAAUUAUAUAAUUCAGGAAAAGAUAUCCUGCAUAAAACAUUGUUUGAAGAAACUUUCGAUAAAGUAUCAACAUCAGUAGUACUAUUAAAUUGUUUUCUUAAUUUUUUAUAUAAAAACAGAAAAUGCAUGUUGAAUGAAAUUCAUAUAAAAAAAUUAACAAAUUUACUUAUUAAUUAUUUGACAUUGAAAAUAAUGCCAAACUUGAUUAAUUAUAAAGAUGAAACAGACAUUCUUUUCAAAUAAUUUGGAAAGAGUAUUCAAAACUCAUUAACUUAUGUAACCCUACACAAUACAUGUAUUCAGAAUUAACUGGAACUAAAAAAUAUUGCUACAAGUACCUGUAAGUAUACUUGAUAUUAAUUCAGAUAAUUAUAAUAAAAAAAUUGUAUGAAAGAACUAUUUAAGUUAUGUUAUG
Megachile rotundata (alfalfa leafcutting bee) is the source of this 1651-nucleotide long non-coding RNA. RefSeq lists it as uncharacterized. The record is from RefSeq and is a predicted model, not a curated record. Lineage: Eukaryota; Metazoa; Arthropoda; Insecta; Hymenoptera; Megachilidae.